This is a long non-coding RNA of Pseudopipra pipra, 675 nucleotides long. RefSeq lists it as uncharacterized. The transcript has 2 exons. Lineage: Eukaryota; Metazoa; Chordata; Aves; Passeriformes; Pipridae. The record is from RefSeq and is a predicted model, not a curated record.
UAUCGACCACAGCCGGUGGGGAACUCAACACGAGCGUUUCCUGCGGCACGUGCUGGACGGUUCAGACCCCUGAAAUACCCGUGUCCUGUCUGACACAGCAUCUGUUUGCUCCUCACCCGUCCUUACUGGAGGCUGGGGGGGCGAGGGAGGCUCUAAUCUCCCCUCCCAGAGCAUCUCCCGUGUAACUGUGACCCUCAGCACACCCCGGGGAGGUGACGGGGGCAGCUUCCCUGUCUCUGAGAAUGCAGAGGAAAGGGUUAAAUCCUUCCCCUCCCCCUGGCACAAAGUAAAAAUUAACAGUAAGUGCAGAGUCUCGGCUGAGAUUUACCCCUUUCCCUUCCCUCCUCCUUUUCCUCCUCUGGAACCAGGACUUAAAAGGAGCUCUGGGAUGGAGGAGAGGGCUGAGGGUGUUGCAGACUGAAAGCUGCAGCCCAGGCUCUGUAUCCAAACCAAGGCACUGGCCAGCUUGGAAACUGGAGCAGAAACUGGAGCCCAAACCUCUGGCUCAGCAGGUCUGAGGGCUGAAAUGAUGGAUAAAAUCCAGCUUUUUGCUUCACUUUGGAGAGUCCCAUCCCAGGUUGAAUAUCCCUGUGGUGAGACUCCAGGAAGCUGCUGCUGUUCCAUCUCCUCACACAGCUACAGAAGCAAAUUAAAAAUUGCCUUUUGGGAGUUAAA